UGGCAAUCAACAGAGCCUGGCUCACAGCAGGCUGUGGGACGCAGUGGUUGGCUUCCUCCAUGUCUUUGCUAAUAUGCAGAUGAAACUCUCUCAGGAUUCCAGUCAGAUCGAGCUGCUGAAGGAACUCUUGGAUCUCCUUCAGGACAUGGUGGUGAUGCUUCUGUCCCUCCUGGAAGGGAAUGUGGUAAAUGGCACCAUUGGCAAGCAGAUGGUUGACACACUGGUAGAAUCAUCUACCAAUGUAGAAAUGAUCUUGAAAUUCUUUGACAUGUUCUUGAAACUUAAAGACUUAACCAGCUCAGACACCUUCAAAGAAUAUGACCCAGAUGGUAAAGGAAUUAUCUCCAAAAAAGAAUUCCAGAAGGCCAUGGAAGGGCAAAAACAGUACACGCAGUCAGAGAUUGACUUUCUCCUGUCGUGUGCAGAAGCUGAUGAGAAUGACAUGUUUAAUUACGUUGAUUUUGUAGACCGGUUCCAUGAGCCAGCCAAGGACAUAGGGUUUAAUGUGGCUGUGUUAUUGACAAAUCUUUCUGAACACAUGCCAAACGAUUCCCGCCUGAAGUGUCUGUUGGACCCAGCAGAAAGUGUGCUAAAUUACUUCGAACCCUACCUAGGACGCAUCGAGAUCAUGGGUGGGGCCAAGAAGAUUGAGCGUGUUUAUUUUGAGAUCAGUGAAUCCAGUCGCACUCAGUGGGAGAAGCCCCAGGUGAAGGAAUCUAAGCGACAGUUCAUUUUUGAUGUUGUCAAUGAAGGUGGGGAGCAGGAAAAGAUGGAGCUGUUUGUGAACUUCUGUGAGGACACCAUCUUUGAAAUGCAGUUAGCAUCUCAGAUCUCUGAAUCCGAUUCAGCUGACAGGCCAGAAGAGGAGGAGGAAGAUGAAGAUUCUUCUUACGUGUUAGAAAUUGCGGGUGAAGAGGAAGAAGACGGGUCUCUUGAGCCGGCCUCUGCAUUUGCUAUGGCCUGUGCCUCUGUGAAGAGGAAUGUCACCGACUUCCUGAAGAGAGCAACCCUGAAGAACCUCAGGAAGCAGUACAGGAACGUGAAAAAGAUGACUGCGAAGGAGCUGGUGAAGGUGCUCUUCUCCUUUUUCUGGAUGCUGUUCGUGGGGCUAUUCCAGUUGCUCUUCACCAUCCUGGGAGGAAUCUUUCAGAUCCUCUGGAGCACAGUGUUUGGAGGGGGCCUGGUAGAAGGGGCAAAGAACAUCAGAGUGACCAAGAUCCUGGGUGACAUGCCUGACCCAACCCAAUUUGGUAUCCAUGAUGACACUAUGGAGGCUGAGAGGGCAGAGGUGAUGGAGCCAGGUAUCACCACUGAACUAGUACACUUCAUAAAGGGGGAGAAGGGAGAUACAGAUAUCAUGUCAGACCUCUUUGGACUCCACCCAAAGAAAGAGGGCAGCUUAAAGCAUGGGCCUGAAGUGGGUUUGGGUGACCUCUCAGAAAUUAUUGGCAAGGAUGAACCCCCUACAUUAGAGAGUACUGUACAGAAGAAGAGGAAAGCUCAGGCAGCAGAAAUGAAAGCAGCAAAUGAAGCAGAAGGAAAAGUAGAAUCCGAGAAGGCAGACAUGGAAGAUGGAGAGAAGGAAGACAAAGACAAAGAAGAGGAGCAAGCUGAGUACCUGUGGACAGAAGUGACAAAAAAGAAGAAGCGGCGGUGUGGUCAGAAGGUUGAGAAGCCGGAAGCUUUCACAGCCAAUUUCUUUAAAGGGCUGGAAAUCUAUCAGACCAAGUUACUGGUCACUGAAGAGCCUUUAGAAGAAGAGACAGAGGAUGUUGCAAACCUAUGGAAUUCCUUUAAUGACGAGGAAGAGGAAGAAGCGAUGGUAUUCUUUGUCCUUCAGGAGAGCACCGGGUAUAUGGCACCAACGCUGCGGGCCCUGGCCAUCAUCCACACCAUCAUCUCUCUAGUCUGUGUGGUGGGCUACUACUGCCUGAAGGUGCCUUUGGUGGUUUUCAAAAGGGAAAAAGAAAUCGCCAGGAAGCUGGAGUUUGAUGGCCUAUAUAUCACCGAACAGCCAUCUGAAGAUGACAUCAAGGGGCAGUGGGACCGCUUGGUGAUCAACACACCAGACGGGGUUUCACCGUGUUAGCCAGGAUGGUCUCGAUCUCCUGAUCUGGUGAUCCACCCACCUCGGCCUCCCAAAGUGCUUGGAUUACAGGCAUGAGCCACCGCGCCCGGCCUGAAGUCCUCUUCUUAACCAAAUAGCCUGCUUGGUAAGAGACCUCGUCUUAACGUAAGAUUGAGAGGCACUUACAUGGGCAGGUAAAUAGAGCCAUCUGGUAGGGAUAUGAAGACCUGUGGAGGCAAGCCUGCCUUCCUGUAGGCAUGUGGCACUGUGGUGGGAAGAAGGAAGAGCACUGAUUGACAGGCAGGUGACACCAAGGCUCUGACGCUUACUGGUCUGUGAACUUGCACAAGGUAAUCAAGCCUUCUCAGCCUUAGUUUCCUCGUCAGUAAUAGAAGGAUGAGAAUAUCAUCCUGCAGAGGAUUAAUGAAUGUAUGUGUCAAAUGCUUGGCAAAUGCCUGGCACGUGGUAGGCAUUAAGCUGUUACUCAUUCUCUUUCCCCUAACUAUCCAAAAAGUGGCCAUCACCAUUAGCAAAUGUCACACUCUAAUGACAGUUGAUUCACAAGUAAGUGACAGUUUCAAGAUAAAUUAAUGUGGCAAAAGAAAAGAAAUAAGGCCAAAUAGUAAACAAAGGUGACUGUGUUGAAACUCUUAGGUGUGCCAAUUAAGAUAGGCAUGUUAAGAAACAGCAACCCUGACUCCAGGGGAAGAAAGCUGUGUCCUAUCCAAAGAUGAUCAGGCAAACUGAGAAGCAGCUCUGCAAAGGUACAACUAAGCAUAUUUCUUUAUAUUCUCCAGAAAAGGAAGCCUCUUCCCUUAGAAGGGGGAAAAUGUGAACAGACACAUCCUCACAUCCUAAGUCUGUCCCUGCCUGUGGGUCCCCUGCCAAUCUUCUCACACAAGGAAAAGCACUGUUUCUGAUGCUUUGUCAUUACAUUACAGAAGUCUUAGACACUAUUGAAUAGUUUAAUCCUUUGGUAAGCUUUGUGCAAUCAUCAGUAAUGCUUGCGUCUUGUUAUACAAGGACAUGUGGCCUAAAAGUCCCAGUAAGAAGGCAGUUCAAUUUCGGCCAGGCACAAUGGUUCAUGCCUGUAAUCCCAGCGCUUUGGGAGGCCGAGGCGGGUGGUUCAUGAGGUCAGGAGUUCGAGACCAGCCUGGCCAACAUAGUGAAACCCCGUCUCUACUAAAAAUACAAAAAAAAUUAGCUGAGCGUGGUGGUGGGCGCCUGUAAUCCCAGCUACUUGGGAGUCUGAGGCAAGGAGAAUCACUUGAACCUGGGAGGCGGAGGUUGCAGUGAGCUGAGAUCGCACCACUGCGCUCCAGCCUGGGCGACAGAGCGAGACUUCAUCUCAAAAAAAAAAGAAGGCAGUUCAAUUUCUAGCAAUGUAUCCUAAGGAGAUAAUGAGACAAGUACACUAAAAUGUCCUAACAAAGGUAUUUCCCAAUAUUUUUUACUUAGAGUGGCUUAAACGUCCAUGAGUAGGAAAUGCAUAAAUAAAUAGCUAUUUUUUAAAAUGUUAGAGAUAGACCAAUGUUUUUAAUUUUUUUUCACAAUGGCAUCAUAGUACGUGUUCAUGUUUUGUAACGUGCUUUUUUUCAGUUAACUGUAUGUCAUGGGAGCUUUCUUUUUAAACAUUUUAC
Molecule: small RNA, 3708 nt
Filed under: Pan troglodytes (chimpanzee)
Lineage: Eukaryota; Metazoa; Chordata; Mammalia; Primates; Hominidae
Description: processed transcript
Source: RNAcentral